Molecule: non-coding RNA, 28 nt
Filed under: Mus musculus (house mouse)
Lineage: Eukaryota; Metazoa; Chordata; Mammalia; Rodentia; Muridae
Source: RNAcentral
UGGCCCUACAAGCAAGCACCCACUUUUC